GAAAUGCGAUAAGUAGUGUGAAUUGCAGAAUUCAGUGAAUCAUCGAAUCUUUGAACGCACAUUGCGCCCUUUGGUAUUCCUUAGGGCAUGCCUGUUCGAGCGUCAUCUAAACCUUCAAGCCCUGCUUGGUGUUGGGUGCCUGUCCCGCCUCCGCGCGCGGACUCACCUCAAAUCCAUUGGCGGCCCCCGCGUCGGCCACGAGCGCAGCAGAAACGCGAACUCGUGAGCCCGUCCGGGCGGCUCCCAGAAGCUACACCCACCCAGUUUGACCUCGGAUCAGGUAGGGAUACCCGCUGAUCUUAAGC
This 305-nucleotide unclassified non-coding RNA is filed under the name plant metagenome. RNAcentral describes it as "partial contains 5.8S ribosomal RNA, internal transcribed spacer 2, and large subunit ribosomal RNA". The stretch from base 1 to 105 matches the Rfam family "5.8S ribosomal RNA", at positions 50 to 154 of the family's 154-position model. The record is from RNAcentral.